This 823-nucleotide ribosomal RNA is filed under the name Nematoda sp. AmbK. Its description in RNAcentral is "SSU rRNA". It matches the Rfam family "Eukaryotic small subunit ribosomal RNA", at positions 96 to 919 of the family's 1831-position model. Lineage: Eukaryota; Metazoa; Nematoda. The record is from RNAcentral.
GCUCAUUACAACAGCCACCGUUUACUAGAAUAUAGUUAUCCUACUUGGAUAACUGUGGCAAUUCUAGAGCUAAUACAUGCAAAAAAGCUCUGCCCGCAAGGAACGAGCGCAUUUAUUAGAAUAAAAACCAAUCGGGUUUCGGCCCGUAAUUUGGUGAAUCUGAAUAACUUUGCCAAUCGCACAGUCCUAGUACUGGCGAUGUAUCUUUCAAGUGUCUGCCUUAUCAACUUUCGAUGGUAGGUUAUACGCCUACCAUGGUAGUAACGGGUAACGGAGAAUAAGGGUUCGACUCCGGAGAGGGAGCCUGAGAAACGGCUACCACAUCCAAGGAAGGCAGCAGGCGCGCAAAUUACCCACUUCCAGAACGGAGAGGUAGUGACGAAAAAUAACGAGACAGUCCUCUUCGAGGUCUGUCAUCGGAAUGGGUACAAUUUAAAUCCUUUAACGAGGAUCUAUUGGAGGGCAAGUCUGGUGCCAGCAGCCGCGGUAAUUCCAGCUCCAAUAGCGUAUAUUAAAGUUGUUGCGGUUAAAACGCUCGUAGUUGGAUCUGCGGCCUCGGAGAACGGUCCCCCGAAAGGGCGGUCACUGUCUCUCCUAGCCUAAAUUCGAGUCGUCUCUAGGUGCUCUUUACCGAGUGCUUAGAGUGACUAGAACGUUUACUUUGAAAAAAUUAGAGUGCUUAAAGCAGGCGAAAUAGCCUGAAUAAGGUGCAUGGAAUAAUGGAAUAGGACCUCGGUUCUAUUUUGUUGGUUUUCGGAACCCGAGGUAAUGAUUAAGAGGAACAGACGGGGGCAUUCGUAUUCCGGCGCUAGAGGUGAAAUUC